RNAcentral lists this unclassified non-coding RNA (343 nucleotides) under soil metagenome. RNAcentral's name for it is "partial contains 5.8S ribosomal RNA, internal transcribed spacer 2, and large subunit ribosomal RNA". The stretch from base 1 to 120 matches the Rfam family "5.8S ribosomal RNA", at positions 35 to 154 of the family's 154-position model. The record is from RNAcentral.
GAUGAAGAACGCAGCGAAAUGCGAUAAGUAAUGUGAAUUGCAGAAUUCAGUGAAUCAUCGAAUCUUUGAACGCACAUUGCGCCCGCCAGCAUUCUGGCGGGCAUGCCUGUUCGAGCGUCAUUUCAACCCUCGAGCCCCCCCGGGGGCCUCGGUGUUGGGGGACGGCACACCAGCCGCCCCCGAAAUGCAGUGGCGACCCCGCCGCAGCCUCCCCUGCGUAGUAGCACACACCUCGCACCGGAGCGCGGAGGCGGUCACGCCGUAAAACGCCCAACUUUCUUAGAGUUGACCUCGGAUCAGGUAAGAAUACCCGCUGAACUUAAGCAUAUCAAUAAGCGGAGGA